This 1439-nucleotide ribosomal RNA is filed under the name metagenome. RNAcentral's name for it is "bacterial SSU rRNA". It matches the Rfam family "Bacterial small subunit ribosomal RNA". The record is from RNAcentral.
AGAGUUUGAUCCUGGCUCAGAACGAACGCUGGCGGAGUGUUUAAUACAUGCAAGUCGUGCGAGAAAUCGGUCUUCGGACUGAGAGUAGAGCGGCGAACGGGUGAGUAACACGUAAGUUACCUGCCUCUAAGUUUGGGAUAACCUUGCUAACGCGGGGCUAAUACCGGAUGUGGUCCUUCGGGAUUAAAGAUGACCUCUCCUUGGAAGUUAUUGCUUAGAGAUGGGCUUGCGGCCUAUUAGUUUGUUGGUGGGGUAAAGGCCUACCAAGACUACGAUAGGUAGCCGACCUUAGCGGGUGAUCGGCCACAUUGGGACUGAGAUACGGCCCAGACUCCUACGGGAGGCAGCAGUAGGGAAUCUUGCGCAAUGGACGAAAGUCUGACGCAGCAACUCCGCGUGAGGGAUGAAUGCCUUAGGGUUGUAAACCUCUGUUGAUAGGGAAGAAAUGCAUAUGGGGUAAUAUUCCAUAUGUUUGACGGUACCUGUCCAGAAAGCUCCGGCUAACUACGUGUCAGCAGCCGCGGUAAUACGUAGGGAGCUAGCGUUGUUCGGAUUUACUGGGCAUAAAGAGAACGUAGGCGGGUUAGUAAGUUAGGAGUAUAAUGUAUCGGCUCAACCGAUAUUUUGCUUUUAAUACUGCUGAUCUUGAGUGUGUUAGAGGCAGGCGGAAUUCCGAGUGUAGCGGUGGAAUGCGUAGAUAUUCGGAAGAACACCGGUGGCGAAGGCGGCCUGCUGGGACAAUACUGACGCUGAGGUUCUAAAGCCAGGGGAGCGAAGAGGAUUAGAUACCCUUGUAGUCCUGGCCGUAAACGAUGUACACUAGAUGUCGGGUUUAUUCGGUAUCGUAGCUAAUGCGUUAAGUGUACCGCCUGGGGAGUACGUUCGCAAGAAUGAAACUCAAAGGAAUUGACGGGGGUCCACACAAGCGGUGGAGCAUGUGCUUUAAUUCGAUGCAACGCGAAGAACCUUACCCGGUCUUGACAUACCAUUGCCCGAUCUAGAGAUAGAUCUUUUUCUUCGGAAACGAUGGAUACAGGUGCUGCAUGGUUGUCGUCAGUUCGUGUCGUGAGAUGUUGGGUUAAGUCCCGCAACGAGCGCAACCCUUAUCCUUAGUUGCCAGCGCGUAAUGGCGGGAACUCUAGGGAGACUGCCCGGUUUAACCGGGAGGAAGGCGGGGAUGACGUCAAAUCAUCAUGGCCCUUACGACCGGGGCCAGACACGUGCUACAAUGGACAGUACAGAGGGUUGCGAAGCCGCGAGGUGGAGCUAAUCUCAGAAAGCUGUUCUCAGUUCGGAUAGGAGUCUGCAAUUCGACUCCUUGAAGUUGGAAUCGCUAGUAAUCGCGGAUCAGCAUGCCGCGGUGAAUAUGCUCCUGGACCUUGUACACACCGCCCGUCAAGCCACGGAAGAUGGUAGUGCCCAACGUCGAUUAUCCAACC